This 48-nucleotide transfer RNA is filed under the name Metacrangonyx spinicaudatus. Its description in RNAcentral is "transfer RNA Serine". The record is from RNAcentral. Lineage: Eukaryota; Metazoa; Arthropoda; Malacostraca; Amphipoda; Metacrangonyctidae.
AGAUAUAAAAAGAACUUCUAAUUCUUAAAAAGCUUAAAGCUAUAUCUA